This 301-nucleotide ribosomal RNA is filed under the name uncultured bacterium. RNAcentral describes it as "partial 16S ribosomal RNA". It matches the Rfam family "Bacterial small subunit ribosomal RNA", at positions 509 to 807 of the family's 1533-position model. The record is from RNAcentral.
CAGUCGCCGCGGGAAUACAGAGGGUGCAAGCGUUAUCCGGAAUGAUUAGGCGUAAAGCGUCUGUAGGUGGCUUUUCAAGUCCGCCGUCAAAUCCCAGGGCUCAACCCUGGACAGGCGGUGGAAACUACCAAGCUGGAGUACGGUAGGGGCAGAGGGAAUUUCCAGUGGAGCGGUGAAAUGCGUUGAGAUCGAAAAGAACACCAACAGCGAAAGCACUCUGCUGGGACGACACUGACACUAAGAGACGAAAGCUAGGGGAGCAAAUGGGAUUAGAUACCCCAGUAGUCCCUGUCUCUUAUAC